AGCUUGAGGAAUUAAUCUCAAGUGAAGCCUGCCCAGUGAAUUUUUUUUAAACGGCCGCGGUACCUUGACCGUGCUAAGGUAGCAUAAUCACUUGGCUUUUAAUUGGAGUCUGGAAUGAAAGGAAACAUGGAGAGAGGCUGUCUCUUCUAAUUUCUUUUAAACUUACUAUCCAGGUGAAAAAGCCUGGAAAAUGAAAAAAGACGAGAAGACCCUGGGAAUUUUUGAAAUUUUAUUGGGGCGAUAUAGGAUCAUAAAACAUCCUUUUAAAUUACAUGACGAGUUUUAUGAAUGGGUAAAUUACCCCAGGGAUAACAGCACAAUAAGUUAUUGUUUGUGACCUCGAUGUUGGACUAGGAAAUUUUACAGUAAGCAACUGAAAGAUAAUAUUCUGUUCGAAUAAAUUCUCCU
This 408-nucleotide ribosomal RNA is filed under the name Siphopteron sp. JMH-2016. Its description in RNAcentral is "partial 16S ribosomal RNA". It matches the Rfam family "Bacterial large subunit ribosomal RNA", at positions 1828 to 2597 of the family's 2925-position model. Lineage: Eukaryota; Metazoa; Mollusca; Gastropoda; Cephalaspidea; Gastropteridae. The record is from RNAcentral.